Molecule: non-coding RNA, 162 nt
Filed under: bovine gut metagenome
Description: Lysine riboswitch
Rfam family: Lysine riboswitch aptamer
About the family: Riboswitches are metabolite binding domains within certain messenger RNAs that serve as precision sensors for their corresponding targets. Allosteric rearrangement of mRNA structure is mediated by ligand binding, and this results in modulation of gene expression.
Source: RNAcentral
UAAUGAUAGAGGUGCGAAUACUAUCAGUAGCGUUUGUCUAUGACGGUCGCAGCGUUACGGCUUGCGUGAAAGGAGUAUUUGCCGAAGAUUGCCGAGGCGAAAGGCAAGUCUGGGAGUGCGGAGAAUAUCCGUUCUACUGUCGCAGAUGCGGAGUGCUAUCUU